This is an RNA transcript of Dermochelys coriacea (leatherback sea turtle), 1983 nucleotides long. It is a transcript of the gene named sterile alpha motif domain containing 13, with no coding region annotated. The record is from RefSeq and is a predicted model, not a curated record. The transcript is spliced from 6 exons. NCBI's taxonomy places the organism in Eukaryota, Metazoa, Chordata, Testudines, Dermochelyidae.
UAUUUGGAACUCUGCAUGUGGGUGCAGCUGUGUUGGAGGAAGGCAGCCUUUUGCUGGCUAUGAAGAAAGUUGCUGAACUUAAAGAAACCUCAACCCUCUCCAUGCUGUCUGUUGACAUGGAAAACAAGGAGAAUGGCUCUCUGGAUGUCAAAAAGUUAUACCCGAAACCCCAGGCUACAAACCCUGCCAGACCUGCCACAGGUCUUUUCCCCCUCAGCGAUGGGCAUUCCAGCUUCCUCGACGCAUCUUACAUCCCAUCAAAGGGAAACCUGAAAGAAAGGCAAAGUCACCCCAAAGGCCAGAGAGCAGGGAAACCUGCAUCCCAGUAUGGGUACUGCCAAGGCUUCCACCCCUUCCAGUAUCAACAUGCCGGUGCCACUGAAAAGACUUCCAGCAUCCUAGUGCAGCACCAUCGUGGGUACCUGGAUUGGAGUCCUCCAAACACAGAUUCAUCUUGGCCCCUGUUCUGGUACUGUUUUUCUCAGGUCCUAAAGAGUGUACAGACUGCCCAUCUAUAUCAUCUCUGGUGUCUCUCAACAUACUUCAUUUUGAGGAACAAUGCCCAGGAUCACUGGUACCGAUCAGAUUCCUCUCUAACAAGGAUCUCUAAGUCAUAGAAGAUCCUGAAUCUCUCUUGCUGAGGGGUACUGAGAGGAAUGUCCUGCUGGUACCAACCUAUCCCCAGAGCUGACACAUCCCCCAGUGUUGCCACACUACUAUACAAAGACUCAGCCACAGAUACAGUGAGACUGUGGGCAUCACCUAGGCUUCCGGUACCGAUGCAGCCUCUGGUACUGACUCCGUUAGCUCCUCCACUGGAUACAGGGAUGAUACCUUCUCAGACACAGACACUUCCAUUCAAGACUCUACCAUCUUCCUUCUCCCCUAGGUAUAUCGCAGGAGAUCCCAGGAACCAGUUGGUAGUUGUCCCGUCAACCUUGUCAGGACCUCACCAUAGUGAGCUUGUGAACCCUGGGGCUCUGUGAUGGGGCAUGUUCCCCAUACUCGUCCUGAAAGGGUUAAUGUAGGCCAGGGGGCCAAUUAACCUAUUAGGCUGCAAGCAGGGGGGAUAGUUAGGCUGAAAGGAAAGCCUUAAUUACGGUAAGUUCACCUAUACGGGGAUAGGCGAGGCUUCUAUGAAGCCAGGGAGCUGGUAGCAGAAAGGGGCUGCAGGAAGUAGUCUGCAGUUACUCCCAUUGGGAAGGGAGGCAUGUUUGGAGCUAUAGAAUUCAGUCUGCAGUUAAUCCCUGGGAGGAAGGGGUUUGGGUGGCAAACCCAGAGGGGGGAGCCAGAAGGAGUAAGAAAGGCUCAGGGAAAAGACAGCAAGGUUCAGGAUGGUGCAGACCUUGGCAGCUGAUUAGAGGGUCCCUGAGCUGGAACCUGGAAUAGAGGGCAGGCCUGGGUUCCCCUACCAGCCACUAGGGGAGUGGCACCAUUGGGGCAGUGAAUGAGAAGACUGAUUGAGACUAUAAGGAAAACUUUGAUACCCUGGAACAGGAGGACUAUAGUGACCAGACCGUUGGGCCAAGCCAUGAAGGCAGAGCACCUUGAGUAGCACCUGGGAGCGAGAGCGGCAGCAGGGUAUGCAGUGACCAGCAGAAGGGGGCCUUGGACCUGGAAAGAGCUAAUCCCCAGAGCAACCAGGAGGAGGCGCCUCAAGCGUUCAGUAGAGAAUGGGAGACCUCCUGACCCUGCUGACUGGGCUGUCACUGAUGUCGUAAAUUACUUCAGAACAGCAGGAUUUGAAGAACAAGCCAAUGCUUUUCAAGAACAGGUAAAUCGGUUUGGAUCGACUGUCACUGCCCUUUGACUCCUCACAUUUUCAUUAUAUGGGCUGGUUGUACAAAGGAAAUUGACGGCAAAUCAUUGCUACUGAUGACAAGAAAUGAUGUAUUGACUGGACUUGCGUUAAAACUGGGGCCAGCUCUGAAAAUCUAUGAAUAUCACGUAAAACCUCUACAGACACAACAUCUAAAGAACAAU